Molecule: ribosomal RNA, 772 nt
Filed under: uncultured Neocallimastigales
Lineage: Eukaryota; Fungi; Neocallimastigomycota; Neocallimastigomycetes; Neocallimastigales
Description: partial large subunit ribosomal RNA
Rfam family: Eukaryotic large subunit ribosomal RNA
Source: RNAcentral
CGCAUCUGUGCAUGCAGCAUAUCAAUAAGCGGAGGAAAAGAAACUAACAAGGAUUCCCUUAGUAACGGCGAGUGAAGCGGGAAGAGCUCAAAUUUGAAAUCUUGAAAGGUCACCUUUCACGAAUUGUAGUUUAAAGAAGUGUUUUCUGUUACGAUCGUAAUAUAAGUUCUUUGGAAUAGGACAUCACAGAGGGUGAGAAUCCCGUCUAUGAUUGCGAUUUGUAGCUUUGUGAUACACUUUCAAAGAGUCGGGUUGUUUGGGAAUGCAGCCCAAAACGGGAGGUAAAUUUCUUCUAAGGCUAAAUAUUGGCGAGAGACCGAUAGCGAACAAGUACCGUGAGGGAAAGAUGAAAAGAACUUUGAAAAGAGGAGUUAAAUAGUACGUGAAAUUGUCAAAAGGGAAGCGUUUAACACCAGUGUUGUUUUCUGAAAAUCAACCUCUGUUAGCUUUAUGCAUGUUUGUUUAGACCUAAUCAGCUAUCUUGCAUGUUCUAUUGUUUGCAGUGGUGCACUUUUCAGUUUACAGGUCAACAUCAGUUUUUUUUACCGUAAAAAAGUUAAAGAAAGGUAGCUCAUGGCUCCGGUCGUGAGUGUUAUAGUCUUUUUCCUAUGCGGUAGGAGAGACUGAGGUCUGCAGUGUAGGCUAUUUGGCUAGAUACUCAGGUGCUAUGUGAUACCAUUUCAUAAACAACUUGUUGAUUAUGUUUUGUCUAUUGCAUACUCGCUUGUACUAUCAUACCUACGCUUAGGAUGUUGACGAUCAGCUGAGCGCG